UGAUCUUUGCCACUUCACUGUUCUUUCCCAACGCCAAUCCUCAGAGGUCAAGUCGUUUUCAGAUAAAGAUUUGAUGCACUUUGGCAAGCCUGGAGAAUUAGAUGGCGUGUUCGUCCCGCACAGGUCAGCUGGGCAUUUGCUAAAGGAAAUCCAAGGAGGUGGUGUUUUCAAUGGAUCAAGGCAAUUAUCUGGUAUGUCCUUUGAUUGGCACUAGAGGAUGCAUUUGACAUUUCUUGGACUGGGCUUAACCUAAAGGUAGAGAAUUGGAAGCCAUUGUGAUAUAAAGGAUGCAAAGGGAGGGCGAGCAAGAUGCUGCCACUCUCUUUAUGCAGCGCUCUUUUGCUAAAGGGAAAGGGAGGGUGGGUUCUUUUGGAUUCCAAAGCGUGAGGUUUUAUGCCAGUCAUUGCCACUCCCCCUUAGCCGUUGCGCCUUUUGGAACCUCAAGUGCAAGAUAGCAAGUGGAGAUACACAGGAAAAGCUCCAAAGCGCCCCGCCAUGUCACUAGAUAGUUUCUUUGCUGCCAUUCUGAUCUGCAAAUAUCUAACGUGAUGUGUAGUGGGGAAGUCAAUUUAGUGACGUGCUUCAAUUAUUUCAGCUAUGAGGAUUUGUUGCUUGAGCAGUUAUUUGUUAUCGCUUCUGGUUCGUUUCAUUUCUGUUGUAAACCAAGUUAUAUGUUACUUAUUAACCAUGUUACACCGUUAAACGUGUCUCCAUGGUUAGUUUUUUCAUAUCUGUUUUUUUCUGCACUAAGUUCGUAAGAAAGAUAUCCACCCCUGCUCUUGUUCUGUGCGAGUUGUUAUGGAGUAGUAUUUUGGAGAACUGGAGAAGCAUACUUGGUUAUAAGUAAUUAUGUAUUGCUGUUGCCUGAUCAAUACAGCAAGAUAGAUGUUGUGUUGAUAUAUUGAGUUUUCCAGUUUUGUGAUAAAAUUAAUUUUAUAAUAAACUCUGUAGUCUAGACUAAGUAAUUUUAUUUCUAAUUUCUAUCAAUGGAGUUAUUUGUGAUUUCCCCCCUUUAAUCUUAGAAGUGUUAAUUUAUUGUAGAUUAACUCAUACUGCACUUGAAAUUGCUUCAUAUUUAUUCCUUUGGAUGAUUGGCAUUUUUAAAUGGUUAACAAAGUCUUUUCAGUUUGCACAGAAUUUUCAUCCUUGUACAACAGUACACAAAAUUAUUCCCUCAACUAUUGAAAGGCAUAGCACCCUAUUUUGAGAAUCAAUAUUCUUCCUACUGAUAUUCUAUUUAUACAGCUAAAAGCACAAUUUUUUUUCCCGUACCAAAGCCAUCUUUAUUCCAUUGCAUGAGUGUGCGUAUGUACAACAGUUACAUAGAGGUGGUGACCGAUGAGCUGCAAAGACUAAGCAACUGGAGAAUGGGCCCCACUAUCCAGGAAUUCUGGCAGAUGGUGAAUACUAAAGUAAAUUCAUCAGUCUGAUGGAUACCAGAGUCUAGCUCAACUACUUGUUUUCACGGGAAGCUGAUCUAACAAAGGAACAUGAGGUUUUCCAGUAAGACAAGCCAAAUAUAAGUACUUAAGUAGCAAUUUCUAAUCUAGCAUGCAUUCAAUACCUGUUCUUUUAGGGGAAAACAGUAGGGGCCUCCCCUACUGUGGUAAUUAUAUUAAUAUAAAGAGAAAGAGAACUGUACAGAGACCCUCUCAGAAAGGGAAAAAAAGGACAGGAAAAAAGAUCUAUACAGAAGAGGAGAGCCAAUCUAAGAAAAGAAGGUUCAGAGAUUCAUCCUAAUAGACUGAAGAAAAGCUUCUUUAACGAAGUCAUUUUUCCAUCCCUGAAAAGUUGGGUUAAUAUCAAGAUAAAAUCAUUCCUUUGUUUCCAGAUAAUCCAGAUUGCAAUGAUGAUGAAGAAGGGUCUUGUAAAGUUCCUCCUGGCUUGAUGCGUCAUAAGAAAGUCCCAGUGAAUAUCAAGAGCUUGCCAACAUCUGGAGGAAAAGGUACAACAAAAGAAAAGGUGAAGGACAGUUUCUUUCACCCUCAAGUUACAAAGAACACAGUUGUAAUCGUCUCCUUCAAUCCUCAAAUACUUCCGUUUCAAAAUAUUUCUUGUAUUUAAUCUGUCCAUGAGGAGUCAUGUAGUAACUUUUAACUUUUUACUGCAUUUUUAUUUCCAAAUCCAUGUAAAAGGAGUGGGAGCCAAAAUUUCUUUGAAAGGCAAAGAGUAGAACUUUCUGGCUGUGUAAA
Phragmites australis (common reed) is the source of this 2192-nucleotide RNA transcript. RefSeq lists it as uncharacterized. Lineage: Eukaryota; Viridiplantae; Streptophyta; Magnoliopsida; Poales; Poaceae. The transcript is spliced from 3 exons. The record is from RefSeq and is a predicted model, not a curated record.